UAGAAAAUGGUGUAGAGGUAGCACGAAGAGUUUUGAUCUCUUAAGAAAGGGUUCAAAGCCCUUUUUUCUAG
RNAcentral lists this transfer RNA (71 nucleotides) under Synchiropus altivelis. RNAcentral's name for it is "Foetorepus altivelis tRNA-Gln". It matches the Rfam family "tRNA". From Rfam's summary of the family: Transfer RNA (tRNA) molecules are approximately 80 nucleotides in length. Their secondary structure includes four short double-helical elements and three loops (D, anti-codon, and T loops). Lineage: Eukaryota; Metazoa; Chordata; Actinopteri; Syngnathiformes; Callionymidae. The record is from RNAcentral.